RNAcentral lists this long non-coding RNA (423 nucleotides) under Salmo salar (Atlantic salmon). RNAcentral's name for it is "lncRNA (ENSSSAG00000120759.1)". The record is from RNAcentral. Lineage: Eukaryota; Metazoa; Chordata; Actinopteri; Salmoniformes; Salmonidae.
AGGAAACCUGACAGGAAGUCAUGAUGACUGUAUCUUGAGUUGAGAUACAGAAAGGAUUUCAAGGUGUUUAUAUUUCUGUAUUUAACUUUACAACCAUAUCUACUACGACUUCUGUAUUUAACUUUACAGCCAUAUCUACUACGACUUCUGUAUUUAACUUUACAACCAUAUCUACUACGACUUCUGUAUUUAACUUUACAGCCAUAUCUACUACGACUUCUGUAUUUAACUUUACAACAAGAUCUACUACGACUUCUGUAUUUAACUUUACAACAAGAUCUACUACGACUUCUGUAUUUAACUUUACAACCAUAUCUACUACGACUUCUGUAUUUAACUUUACAACCAUGUCUACUACGACUUCUGUAUUUAACUUUACAGCCAUAUCUACUACGACUUCUGUAUUUAACUUUACAGCCAGAU